Lolium rigidum is the source of this 961-nucleotide long non-coding RNA. RefSeq lists it as uncharacterized. NCBI's taxonomy places the organism in Eukaryota, Viridiplantae, Streptophyta, Magnoliopsida, Poales, Poaceae. The transcript has 3 exons. The record is from RefSeq and is a predicted model, not a curated record.
UGUGGGAGCAGAAGCAGUAUAAGAUCGUCGCUUCGGGCUGCUAUGCAAUGCUUAGCCACCUCGCUCACCUGCACCAUUCCUGAGCAAUGAAGAACCAAGGCGCUCCGUUCCCAUCAAGGCCUUCGCCUUCAGGAGGGCUCCCGGACAGCUGUGAGGAGCGCGGCGCACCUGGUCGACCAUUGGAUCAGUGCAGUUCGGUUCAUGGUAGAAUGCUCCUAGAGUUUUGAUCUCCUCUGCGCCGCUACCGUGAAUAUCUCCAGAUCAUAGCAAUCUAUUUACUGAAGUCAGUCCCAGCAGAUUUGAGGUAAAUCGUAGAAUGGACGUGUUCUAAAAAAAGAGAAGGUUGAAUGGCAUAGUAGUCCUAGAAAUAAAGAGUUCGAGAUUUUUCGGGUAACAUGAGGUAAUAUAUCUCUGCAUAAUGAAUUGGAUUUUGAGAAAUGGAGGUGAAGGCCAUGUUCUGGCAGGUACUUCUUUAUCUUUACAUACAUUUCUUGUGCAGUAUUUCUUAUACAAAAUGUUCAGAGCCGACAAAAACAUAGAGGGCUAUCCAUCUUUAGGAGAAAAAAACUAUUUCAUGAUUGGCUCUACAUGCAUGUAUAUUUUUACCGGGAUAUUCUAAUUUUGACUAGAAAUUCAAUGCAUCUUCGUGUCUUAAUGUAUAAGUUUUGAGUAACAACGGCCGGCCUGGGAGCCGGAGUUUGUCGUUAACUGUUGUAAGCAUAUUGGCUAAUUCUAAUGUAGUGGUUUCUAAAAAAAAGUGAAUGGGUGUCGAGUCUAUUCUUCAUAUCAUUGCGGACAAGUGAUACAUUAGCAUGAGCACCAGAUUUAUAGAUUUCGAAUAUUCGAUCUUUUUUCGUUAAAACAAAAUUUACUGGAAAUCAGUUCAUCAGUACAAAAUAAUGACACUGCCAUUAGGAAUUAGGAAUAUGAAAGUGGAAUGUACUGGCUGGUCAUUGGGCCA